CAGGUACUUGAGAGGCUGAGGUGGGAGGAUUGCUUGAGCCCGGGAAGUUGAGGCUUCGAUGAACCAUGAUUGCACCACUGCCCUUGGGUCUGGUUGAUACAGUAAGACCCAUGAUUGCACCACUGCCCUUGGGUCUGGAUGAUACAGUAAGACCCUGUGUCAUUUUUUUUUUUUAAGAUAUUAAAAAAAAAAACAACUUUUUUUUUUUUGAGAUAGAGUCUCACUUUAUUGCCCAGGCUGUAGUGUAAUGGCACGUUUUUGGCUCACUGCAACCUCUGCCACCUGGGUUCAAGUGAUUCUCCUGCCUCAGCCUCCCAAGUAGCUAGGACUACAGGCGUGUGCCACCACGUUCAGCUAAUUUUUGUGUUUUUAGUACAGACGGGAUCUCAUCGUGUUGGCCAGGCUGGUCUCGAACUCCUGACCUCAGGUGAUCCACCCACCUUGGCCUCUCAAAAUGCUGGGAUUACAGGCAUGAACCACUGUGCCCAGCCAAAAAAGCUUUUUGAAAAUAUAGUUUAAACAUUUUCGAAGAAAAUUUUAGACUUACAGAAAAGUUGCAAAAAUGGUAUAGAGAAUUCCUGUAUAUUCUUCACCCAACUUCCCUUAAUGUUAACAUCUUAUAACCAAAGUACAAUUACCAAAACUAAGAAACUUUUUUUUUCCACCAUAAAGUUAUUACUUUUCUCUUUGUAAAUAAUAUUUUUUUGGGGAGAGAUACUUUGAGACUGUACAAGUAUCCUGCUUCUCCUUAAACUUUUGCCCAUCAAUUUUAGCGUCCAUCAGUGGAUACUGCUUGUAGUUAUUAUUACUGUGAUAUUCUAAUCAUGAUUUUCUAUUUCCUUAUUCCUUACAUUUUACAACUGGAAUUAUUCUGUAAAGUAAAGUUGUACUUUCUCCUCAAUUUAUUUAUAUGGUAUGGACUCAAAGAUUUUUAUUUAACCAUUGGGUUUUAAUCUAGUACUAUCAUAAUAUAGUACUAUGCUUAAUCCAGUACUAUUCUUAUUUAUUUUGUUGCUCAAAUUGUUUCAGCCUUGGCCAUAGGGGGCUCUUUCAGUUUGGCUCUCAUGCCCUUUCAGCAAGAUUCCCAUCUUUUUUUUUGUGGGGGGGCACUUCGUUACUUUUUAGCAUAAUUUCUGUCUUACCUCUCCUAGCUCUGGAAUCCACUAUUUUUUCAAGGAGCCACAAUUUCUUUUGUUGGAGAAUAGUAUUUAGAAAACAAGGUCUACAACUUGUAUUUUGGAGUAAAAAAACAUGGAUAUUACUAACAGCUAAGUAUACAGAUAUUUUUUCGUUCCACAGGUUGAGAUACGUUACUUAAGAUCUCAAUACCCUUUUCCAAAGACUUCUGGGAUGACUUGGAAGUGAUGGUUGGAUGAAUCCCUUUCUGAAGAAGCUCGGCCCAGGAACCCAUGAGAGAGCCAGCAAUAGUGCCUACCAGCAAUAGUGGUACCAUCUCCUGCUUCUGUAUCUUAGCUCCCCCAGCAUUCUGCUGCUGGAUGUGACACUUGUAUUUGUUUCAGAAUGGUGGCACCAUCAUUUGUAGUGGUCACAUUGCCUUUUCCACCUUGAAUUUUUUUUCCCAUUCCUUUUGGUCCAAGGCUGGUUUUAAUAGCAUCAGCAGCAGUUUUGGCUGUGAUGUUGCUGAAUCAGAUCUCAGCCUGCUUGUCAUGUCCCUGACAGGCACCCUUCACACACAGCUGGAAGCCCUGGUGGGUGCCCUGCCCCACGGUCCAAAUGACGUCUUUACUUGGGCAUGUUAACUAAAACUUUCUCCUUAUGUGUUACAUCUUGUUUUGUUUUUUGUUGCUUGUUUUGCUGUCAGGUUCUAAAGAUGUGCUCCUUUAGGGUUAGGCAAAGGCUCCAGGAUGGCUAUGGAAUUCCACUAGCGAGCUAGGGGGCCACAGGAAUCUACCAGCUGGGGGACUUUGGCCAAGUUACUUUAAACCAUAGUUCUCAAAGUGUGAUCGCCAGACCAGCAUCAUCAGCCACACCUGGGAACCUAUUACAAAUACAAAUUCUUGGGCCCUGUUGGAGACCUAUUGAAUAAGAAACUGGAAGUGGGGCUUAGCCAUUUACGUUGAACAAACCCUCAAGAUGAUACUGAUGAAUACUUAAGUUUGAGAAAUACUGUGCUAAACCAUAUUUCUUAACCUUGGCUGCACAGUAGAGCCACCUAAGGAGCUUUUCUCUAUCCACCCCUAUUCUGAUUGGUCUGGAAGGGGACCAGUGACAGGAAUCUUGAGUCUAAUGCAUAACCAGAGUUGAGAACCACAGCUCUAAACUUGUUUGUGUAUAAAAUGGGGGAAAAUAAUACUUACCUCUUAGGGCUGUUGUAGGAAUUAAGUGAUGUAAUUUACAGUAAGAAUGAAGCAGGCUGGUGGCCCACGCUUGUAAUCCCAGUGCUUUGGGAGGCCGAGGCAGGUGGAUCACUUGAGGUCAGGAGUUAGAGACCAGCCUGGCCAACAUGGCAAAACCCCAUCUCUACUAAAAACACACAAAAAAAUUAGCCGGGCGUGGUGGUGGGCGCCUGUAGUCCCAGCUACUCCGGAGCCUGAGGCAGGAGAAUAGCGUGAACCUGGAAGGCAGAGCUUGCAGUGAGCCGAGAUUGCACCACUGCACUCCAGCCUGGGAGACAGAGUGAGACUCUGUCUCAAACAAACAAACAAACAAACAAACACCAGAAAACUAGCUGGGUGUGAUAGCGCACGCCUGUAGUCCCAGCUACUUGGGAGGCUGAGACAGGAAAAUCUCUUGAACCUGGGAGGUGGUUGUUGCAGUGAGCCAAGAUUGUGCCACUGCACUCCAGCCUCGGCAACAGAGCAAGACACUGUCUCAAAAAAAAAAAAAAAAAAAAAAAAAAAGUGAAGCAGUGUCUAGCAAAUGGUGAAGCACUUGACAAAUGAUAGUUACGGGUAUAAUAAUACUCAGAGAGAUUAGAGCUACAUCACGAGGUCAUGAAAAGACAGUGGGACUUUGAGGGCUCAGUGUUGGUUUAUUCAGGUUAUGACGCUGAGGUUGCGAGGCCAUGCACUACAGCUAUCACUAAGCAGAGUUUUUAUGGUUGCUUGUGGGUCUUUGUUCAUGCCAUUUGCUUCAACCCUUUCUCUCUGCUUGUGAAAAUCCUACAUUAAGAGUGUGAUGAAAGGUGCAGGGUUUGUCACCUACCAGGGAUGGAGAAUAGAAAUAAAAGAAGGUACAUGCUCUAGAGUCAGCAGUUUGAAUUUAAAACUUUAGACAUUUAUAGCUGGGUGAUCUUGGUCAUUGGUCUCCUUAUGUGCAAAAUGGGGAUACUUAUCAUAUGGGGGGGGUCAAAUAAGAUAUAGCCUACAAAGCACAAUGUAUUCAACACUCCAGAAAAGCUGGCCUUAUCUGCAUUUAUUGCUUUCCUGCUUGGGAAGUCAUUCCUGAUGAUGUGAACAUGGACCUCUUUUAUCUCUAACCCUCUUAUUAAAUAUUAACUUGUUUGGUGCUUAACCCACUGGCUAUUUCUCACAGAUAUUCUCAGACUGGAGCUCUUUUUAGAUUAAUCUGUAUCCUUAGACUUUCCAUUUCUGUUUAGAAUAGUUUUUAUUCUAAACUCAACGGGCCAAUUGUUUGUGGCUCUAUCGGGAAAAUGAUUCUGCACUGAGCACCAUUUAGAUUGUCUUACUGAGACAAGGCUAGGUGGAGCUCAGUCUUCUGCGACAGGGACACAGAAAGUUCUCCAUAAAUGAAUCCAUCCUUUCAGAAAACACAUAUUUCCUUAAGUAGAAUGAAAAAGGUCUUAGAAUCUACAUUGGUUUAACUCUAGUUUCUACUUUAAUGUGAACCUGUAAUAUUGCCACAUCUCCAAUUGUUACAAAAUUGCAUCUCGCUAGUUUUACAAUGCUUCUCUCCAUUUUGCUGCUUUUAUGGCAUUUAAAAAACAUUUCACUGUUUUAAGUUCAGCAUAAAUGUUUUACUGUUUUCCCAGUUAUCUUAAUAUCCAGGGCCGGACAGUCUCUCUGUUUUAUCUGUCUCCUUGAAUGUAAUACUGUUUGUUUUGCUGAUUCUCUCUCUCUCUUUUUUUUUCUUCUAAGAAAUGCUUUCUUCUGAACUUUUCUUGAGUACUUAAGGAAAGCCACGAAGACAGGGUUGGCAGGAUAACAGAUGUUUCCCCCUAUUUAUUGCUCCUGAAGUUUGUUCCCUGCUUUAAAUCUCUAAAAUUAGGCACACAGGAUCUUUGGGAGAAAUGUGUGAGUAAAGAGAGACGGGCUGAAGCAGGCAGAAUUUCAAAUUUUGAUUUAUUCUUUCUUAGAAGAUGAUUUAUAAAUACAAACAUUAUGGUUAUAUAUGUUUAAAUAUAUGAUGCCUUAUGUUUAUCUUGAAACACACACAUACAUGGUGCUUAAAAAAAUAAACUUCUGGAGCCCAUAAUUACAUAAAUAAUAAGAUGUUACCUGUCAUCUACCUCCUCUUCCUGAACCUAUCAUGCUGCUUGUAAAUGUGGAGAACUUUGUAUUUUUAGGAGAUAUGUGUCAACGCUGCCACAGAAAAUUGUGCUAGUAAGACACAGCAGUACUUACUAGUCACACAAUGUGCUAUAUAUAAAAGUUUUUAACAUUUUAUAAUUUACAGAGUCCUUUUCACAGAUAUCUUAUUUCAUUAAUCCAGUGAAGUAUUAUGAUUUUAUAGAGAAGGAGAAGGUAACUGACGUAAGGUCACAUAACCAGUAAGUACACUAUAUCACAAACCUGUGAUUUUUGAAUCUAAAACCCAGUCUUUUUACUAUGUUAUGCUGAAAUCGAGAGCAAAAUGGUCUAUGCACAGUGAUCCCCACACGUUAGAAAGCACCAAUAGUUAGGUUUUGACCAGAGAAAUCCAAUUAAACAAACUGGCUAGUCUAAACUUGGAGUUAAAGAUUUUUUUCUGAUUACACUUAGUCAACAUCUUUUUUUUUUUUUUUUGAGAUGGAGUCUUGCUCCGUUGCCCAGGCUGGAGUGCAGUGGCGCGAUAUCAGCUCACUGCAAGCUCCACCUCCCGGGUUCAUGCCAUUCUCCUGCCUCAGUCUCCCGAGUAGCUGGGACUACAGGCACCCGCCACCACGCCCGGCUAAUUUUUUGUAUUUUUAGUAGACAUGGGGUUUCACCGUGGUCUUGAUCUACUGACCUCGUGAUCCGCCUGCCUCGGCCUCCCAAAGUGCUGGGAUUACAGGCGUGAGCCACUGCGCCUGGCCUUAGUCAUCCUCUUAACCAUUGGUCACUGUUGUCCUGAAAUUUGUUGACUUCCCUGGUGUCAAGGGUUAACUUUUCCUUAUCUUCUAUUAAUAUGAUCCAGCUGGUCCAUUGUACUUCUGUACAGGCUGUUUUGAGUCACACAGCUUGCUCUAUCAAUUGA
Macaca mulatta (Rhesus monkey) is the source of this 5355-nucleotide long non-coding RNA. Lineage: Eukaryota; Metazoa; Chordata; Mammalia; Primates; Cercopithecidae. The record is from Ensembl.